AAAUGUUGGGUUAAGUCCCGUAACGAGCGCAACCCUUGUCCUUAUUUGCCAGCGAGUAAUGUCGGGAACUCUAAGGAGACUGCCGGUGACAAACCGGAGGAAGGUGGGGACGACGUCAAGUCAUCAUGGCCCUUACGGGUAGGGCUACACACGUGCUACAAUGGCCGGUACAAAGGGCUGCGAGCUCGCGAGAGUCAGCGAAUCCCUUAAAGCCGGUCUCAGUCCGGAUCGGAGUCUGCAACUCGACUCCGUGAAGUCGGAAUCGCUAGUAAUCGUGAAUCAGAAUGUCACGGUGAAUACGUUCCCGGGCCUUGUACACA
Molecule: ribosomal RNA, 320 nt
Filed under: uncultured Gammaproteobacteria bacterium
Lineage: Bacteria; Pseudomonadati; Pseudomonadota; Gammaproteobacteria
Description: bacterial SSU rRNA
Rfam family: Bacterial small subunit ribosomal RNA
Source: RNAcentral